This 308-nucleotide unclassified non-coding RNA is filed under the name uncultured fungus. Its description in RNAcentral is "sequence contains ITS1". The stretch from base 1 to 105 matches the Rfam family "5.8S ribosomal RNA", at positions 50 to 154 of the family's 154-position model. The record is from RNAcentral. Lineage: Eukaryota; Fungi.
GAAAUGCGAUAAGUAGUGUGAAUUGCAGAAUUCAGUGAAUCAUCGAAUCUUUGAACGCACAUUGCGCCUCCUGGCAUUCCGGGAGGCAUGCCUGUUCGAGCGUCAUUAAAAACCACUCAAGCAUCUAUGCUUGGUCUUGGAGGAUGAGGGUGGCAACACUCUCGCCUCUGAAUUGCAAUGGCGGAUUGCCUCUUGAGCCCUAGCGUAGUAAGUUCAUCUUUUCGCCUGGUGCCAUGAGCGGUCUUGCCACCAACCCCCAAUCAUUCCAGGUUGACCUCGGAUCAGGUAGGGAUACCCGCUGAACUUAA